This 425-nucleotide unclassified non-coding RNA is filed under the name soil metagenome. RNAcentral describes it as "partial contains 5.8S ribosomal RNA, internal transcribed spacer 2, and large subunit ribosomal RNA". The stretch from base 1 to 120 matches the Rfam family "5.8S ribosomal RNA", at positions 35 to 154 of the family's 154-position model. The record is from RNAcentral.
GAUGAAGAACGUAGCGAAAUGCGAUAAGUAGUGUGAAUUGCAGAAUUCCGUGAAUCAUCGAAUCUUUGAACGCACAUUGCGCCUUCUGGUAUUCCGGAAGGCAUGCCUGUUCGAGAGUCAUUAACAACCGUUUCGAUCCCUUUCUUUCAGAAAUUACAAAGAGGAAAAGGGUUUGGUUAUGGUGGAGGAGGGAAAGGGAGCGUUUAGCCUGUAAAAAAAGAGGCUGUGUUCCGCCUCCCCCCCAAAAUUGUACAGGCGGUCGUGUGCGCCCACGCAUCGAGGUGUUGUAAAAGCUGUCACGGCACUUUUCACCUGUGCAGUGCGAGAUUGGCCAGCCGGUUUAAAAACCCCUCCAAACAAUCAAAGGUUGACCUCGGAUCAGGUAGGGAUACCCGCUGAACUUAAGCAUAUCAAUAAGCGGAGGA